Molecule: ribosomal RNA, 494 nt
Filed under: uncultured bacterium
Lineage: Bacteria
Description: partial 16S ribosomal RNA
Rfam family: Bacterial small subunit ribosomal RNA
Source: RNAcentral
GACGAACGCUGGCGGCGUGCUUAACACAUGCCAGUCGAACGGAAAGGCCUGCUUUCCCUUGUGGAUUGCGGGUACUCGAGUGGCGAACGGGUGAGUAACACGUGAGUGAUCUGCCCCCAACUUGGGUAUAAGCCUGGGAAACUGGGUCUAAUUCCCGAUAGGACUGCAGGGUGGUGCCUGUGGUGGAAAACGAUUUUCUAGUGGUUGGGGAUGAGCUCGCGGCCUAUCAGCUUGUUGGUGGGGUAAUGGCCUACCAAGGCGGCGACGGGUAGCCGGCCUGGGAGGGUGGACGGCCACAUUGGGACUGAGAUACGGCCCAGACUCCGACGGGAGGCAGCAGUGGGGAAUAUUGCACAAUGGGCGGAAGCCUGAUGCAGCGACGCCGCGUGGGGGAUGACGGCCUUCGGGUUGUAAACUCCUUUCGACCGCGAGGAAGCCACCUGGUUGGAAGGGUGGUGACGGUAGUGGUAGAAGAAGCACCGGCUAACUACGUG